Molecule: unclassified non-coding RNA, 282 nt
Filed under: plant metagenome
Description: partial contains small subunit ribosomal RNA, internal transcribed spacer 1, and 5.8S ribosomal RNA
Source: RNAcentral
UUUCCGUAGGUGAACCUGCGGAAGGAUCAUUGUCGAAACCUGCCCAGCAGAACGACCCGCGAACUUGUAUAACCAACCGGGGGCGGGGGGCGUUCUCGCCCCGUGCCCCCGAACGGCGGGGAGACACUCGUGCCUUCUCGCCGAACAACGAACCCCGGCGCGGUCUGCGCCAAGGAACUUCAACUAAAGAGUGCCUCCGGUCGCCUCGGAAACGGCGUGCGUGCCGGGGGCGAAUCUUGUGCAAAACCAUAACGACUCUCGGCAACGGAUAUCUCGGCUCCC